AUGCUGACACUGGGGAAGCUCUUUAAAUUUGUCUGUGGGGGGGAGAGUGCUGCUCCUGGCUCCCAGCUGGCUACCUGGGAUAACAUGUCCUGUCCUAGGCCUAUAACUCAGGGAACACAUACAGACGCAACUGAGGUCCAAAGAAAAGAAGAUGGUACUGGAAGUCUUCCUGUGUCAGAGUUGCUGCAUUUGAGACUACAUCAUCUGGAGAGAUAUUCCCAGAACCAUGCCAAUGGCACUUGGUGCAAAGGAAGUGGGGGGUGCAGGACCCUUUCACACUGAAUCCCUGGAGGUGGAGUCUGGCCCCACCUCUAGCAACGGCUGCCACCAGGCCUGGUGAGUUGCUGGAUAGGGUGGUGGAACAGCAAGUGGUGGGAACAUGUCAAGGGGAU
Molecule: long non-coding RNA, 392 nt
Filed under: Chinchilla lanigera (long-tailed chinchilla)
Lineage: Eukaryota; Metazoa; Chordata; Mammalia; Rodentia; Chinchillidae
Description: lncRNA (ENSCLAG00000024333.1)
Source: RNAcentral